This is a small nucleolar RNA of Pteronotus mesoamericanus, 134 nucleotides long. NCBI's taxonomy places the organism in Eukaryota, Metazoa, Chordata, Mammalia, Chiroptera, Mormoopidae. The record is from RefSeq and is a predicted model, not a curated record.
GUGCAAAUCCAGUCACUAACUCUACAUGAUAUUGCAAAAGUGAGGGGAAUCAGAUUUGCUAAAGUAACUGUGGUGAUAGAAAUGCUAUUAGCCUCAGAAGCUACUGAGGUGGUCCAUUCCAUUCUAGUACAAUG